UACGUAGGCAGCAAGCGUUGUUCGGAGUUACUGGGCGUAAAGGGUGCGUAGGCGGACAGGUAAGUCAGUGGUGAAAUCUCCGAGCUUAACUCGGAACUGCCUUUGAUACUCUCUGUCUGAAUAUGGUGGAGGUAAGCGGAAUAUGUCAUGUAGCGGUGAAAUGCUUAGAGAUGACAUAGAACACCUAUUGCGAAGGCAGCUUACUACGCCUAUAUUGACGCUGAGGCACGAAAGCGUGGGGAUCAAACAGG
Molecule: ribosomal RNA, 251 nt
Filed under: uncultured bacterium
Lineage: Bacteria
Description: partial 16S ribosomal RNA
Rfam family: Bacterial small subunit ribosomal RNA
Source: RNAcentral